RNAcentral lists this ribosomal RNA (460 nucleotides) under uncultured bacterium. Its description in RNAcentral is "partial 16S ribosomal RNA". It matches the Rfam family "Bacterial small subunit ribosomal RNA", at positions 338 to 795 of the family's 1533-position model. The record is from RNAcentral.
CCUACGGGAGGCAGCAGUGAGGAAUAUUGGUCAAUGGACGAGAGUCUGAACCAGCUAAGUAGCGUGAAGGAUGACUGCCCUAUGGGUUGUAAACUUCUUUUAUAUGGGAAUAAAAUGUUCCACGUGUGGGAUGUUGUAUGUACCAUAUGAAUAAGGAUCGGCUAACUCCGUGCCAGCAGCCGCGGUAAUACGGAGGAUCCGAGCGUUAUCCGGAUUUAUUGGGUUUAAAGGGAGCGUAGGUGGAUUGUUAAGUCAGUUGUGAAAGUUUGCGGCUCAACCGUAAAAUUGCAGUUGAAACUGGCAGUCUUGAGUACAGUAGAGGUGGGCGGAAUUCGUGGUGUAGCGGUGAAAUGCUUAGAUAUCACGAAGAACUCCGAGUGCGAAGGCAGCUCACUGGACUGCAACUGACACUGAGGCUCGAAAGUGUGGGUAUCAAACAGGAUUAGAUACCCCUGUAGUC